CAGUCGCCGCGGGAAUACGAAGGGGGCUAGCGUUGUUCGGAAUCACUGGGCGUAAAGCGCACGUAGGCGGACACUUAAGUCAGAGGUGAAAUCCCAAGGCUCAACCUUGGAACUGCCUUUGAUACUGGGUGUCUUGAGUUCGGGAGAGGUGAGUGGAACUGCGAGUGUAGAGGUGAAAUUCGUAGAUAUUCGCAAGAACACCAGUGGCGAAGGCGGCUCACUGGCCCGAUACUGACGCUGAGGUGCGAAAGCGUGGGGAGCAAACAGGAUUAGAUACCCCAGUAGUCCCUGUCUCUUAUAC
Molecule: ribosomal RNA, 301 nt
Filed under: uncultured bacterium
Lineage: Bacteria
Description: partial 16S ribosomal RNA
Rfam family: Bacterial small subunit ribosomal RNA
Source: RNAcentral